AUGUCGGUCAUCAUCGGAGCUCUCCUUCAUAACGUGCAAAACAUCACCGCCGCCGUUGUUGGACGCCGCAGCCACUGCCUCCGUCAUGUCGAUGCCCCUCAGGCCGCCGACCGGGUACAAAUCGAUGCACUCCCACAUGCCAGUCCCUGGCACACGGUGAAGCAGGCCAGGGACAAGCUCGUAGUCGAUGAAAUCCUUCGUCUUGUAGGUCAUAACCAUACCGGCAUGGUGGUCAUCCUUGGAGCCGAUGACGAGCCGCCACGUGUCGUCGGAACCGUCAAACCACGCAGUGGUUGGGUCCCUGAAGUCCUUCUCCCCGACGCCCGGUGGCGGGUACAUCACCGGGUUGUUCUCAUACUUGGUCCAGUUGAUGAGCAAAGGGUCGGAGGGGUCGGUGGGGAAAGCCAGGCAUUGGACCUGGACCGAUGCGUUGGUGGAGCCGGUGUAGAGCAUCACGAUGCGGCCGUCGGGGAGGACGGUGGCGGAACCCGACCAGACGCCAUUGAUGUCGUACCAUUGGUCAGGGGACAUUGCCACGGGGAGGUGGCGCCACCGGAGAAGGUCGCGGGAGGCGGCGUGACCCCAGGCGAUCUUGUUGCCCCAGAUGGCGCCGUCCGGGUUGUACUGGUAAAAGAGGUGGUACCACCCCUUGUAGUACACGGGACCUGCACUUGCAUUUUGCAUCAAAGAAUGAGUUUUGCAUCAACAAGAUUACUGCAACAAGUAUCCAUGGAAGAAAUGUUACGUACCGUUGGGGUCGUUCAUCCAGUUCUUCUCGGGCUGGAAGUGAAAGCCUGUGCGCUGCCACUGGAGCAUGGCAUUGCUCCACGGGAACGCGUUGCCGCUGGCAUCCGCGCCCAGCAUGCCGCCGUGCGCGGCGGCGCCAGACGUCUUCUCCGAGACGCCAGACUCAGGCCCCCGGCUGCUGGUGCUCAUCAUCGCCGCGUCGACCGUCGUCUGGUCGCCAGACAUGACGACGAUGCCAUCGGCGGGAAGCUGGCCGGCUAG
RNAcentral lists this ribosomal RNA (1008 nucleotides) under Triticum aestivum (bread wheat). Its description in RNAcentral is "partial small subunit ribosomal RNA". The record is from RNAcentral. Lineage: Eukaryota; Viridiplantae; Streptophyta; Magnoliopsida; Poales; Poaceae.